This 239-nucleotide ribosomal RNA is filed under the name uncultured Hyphomicrobium sp. RNAcentral describes it as "partial 16S ribosomal RNA". It matches the Rfam family "Bacterial small subunit ribosomal RNA", at positions 99 to 358 of the family's 1533-position model. The record is from RNAcentral. Lineage: Bacteria; Pseudomonadati; Pseudomonadota; Alphaproteobacteria; Hyphomicrobiales; Hyphomicrobiaceae.
CAGACGGGUGAGUAAUCCUGGGAAAGGACUAUCGGUACGGAAUAGCUCAGGGAAACUUGGGGUAAUACCGUUUACCCCUUCGGGGGAAAGAUUUAUCGCCGAUAGAUGAGCCCGCGUCUGAUUAGCUAGUUGGUGAGGUAAUGGCUCACCAAGGCGACGAUCAGUAGCUGGUCUGAGAGGAUGACCAGCCACACUGGGACUGAGACACGGCCCAGACUCCUACGGGAGGCAGCAGUGGG